UAAUUUCGAAGCAAUAUAUUACAAUCAACAACAAUCUCUCUGUGAUAUUUAAAUCAUUGGAGUCUUGGUUACUUAAGAUUUAUGAAUGUAUGCAGGAGAACCUAUGUUUUAAUGGUGCAUUUUUUAUAAAAUUAUUUUCUAAACAUCCAUAUCAUACACUUAGUAAAAACACCUGCAGAAGUGGUAAAGGGUCAGUAAUGCCCGUGGCCACAAAUAAACAGAGAAAACUAAAUAGUGCUAUAUUUACAUUUACAUUUGCGGCAUUUGGCAGACGCCCUUAUCCAGAGCGACUUACAACUGAGCAGGGGGUGGUCUUAGGGCUUUUGCUAAAGGGCCCAGCAGUGGCAGCUUGGUGAUAGUGGGAUUUGAACCUGUGACCUUCCGAUCCAAAGUCAAAUGCCUUAACCACUGAGCUACCACCUCCCCUAUAUGCACUGAUAUAUUGUUUAUACUGAUGGAAAUGUAAAUCUUUUAAAAUUCCUGUGGUUCAUGAAUGUAACUGUGGUGCUCGAAUGUCUGUGAACCCUUUAGAAUGUUCUAUAUUUCUGCAUAAAUAUGACCCAACAUCUUUAGAUUUUCACACCUAAAAGUCGUAAAAGUAGACCAAGUGAACCAAGAUGAUGGUAGGUUUCCUCACCUGAACUGCUUGCUUCAGGUCCUUCCACAACAUUUCAGUUGGAUUAAGAUCAGGACUUUGGCACUCUCACCAUUCUUUGGUAGAAUGACUUGGAGGGGAUUGCUUGGGGUCGUUCUCUUGCUGUAUGACCCAUUUUUCCUUGAGUUUCACUUCACAAACAGAUGUCCUGACAAUUUCCUUUAGAAUUUGCUGGUAUAGUUCUGGAUUCAUUGUUCCAUCAAUGAUGGCAAGCCGUCCGUUUGGGGUGAUCCUUAUUGGAUGGCCACUCCUGGUAAGGGUUGAUGAGCAACAAUUUUUCCGAGGUCCUCGGAAAUCUCCUUUGUUCAUGCUAUGAUACACUCCACAAACAUGUGUUGUGCAGAUCAGACAUUUAUAGAUCUCUGGUUUUAAAUAAAACAAGGAACUUAUUGAAACCCUUAGACUCACUAAAACAGAUGGACUUUCACAUACUUUUGUCACUUACAGAUAUGUAAUAUUUGAUAAUUUUUCUCAAUAAAUAAAUGAAAUGUAA
Long non-coding RNA from Silurus meridionalis, 1148 nucleotides. RefSeq lists it as uncharacterized. The record is from RefSeq and is a predicted model, not a curated record. The transcript is spliced from 2 exons. NCBI's taxonomy places the organism in Eukaryota, Metazoa, Chordata, Actinopteri, Siluriformes, Siluridae.